This 407-nucleotide ribosomal RNA is filed under the name uncultured bacterium. Its description in RNAcentral is "partial 16S ribosomal RNA". It matches the Rfam family "Bacterial small subunit ribosomal RNA", at positions 30 to 526 of the family's 1533-position model. The record is from RNAcentral.
AUUGAACGCUGGCGGCAGGCCUAACACAUGCAAGUCGAGCGGAGAGGCGGACGGGUGAGUAAUGCCUAGGAAUCUGCCUGGUACUGGGGGAUAACGUCCGGAAACGGGCGCUAAUACCGCAUACUAUCAGAUGAGCCUAGGUCGGAUUAGCGAGCUGGUGGGGUAAAGGCCUACCAAGGCGUCGAUCCGUAAAUGGUCUGAGAGGAUGAUCAGUCACACGGGAAAGGAGACACGGUCCAGACUCGUCCGGGAGGCAGCAGUAGGGAAUAUUCGACAAUGGGCGAAAGCCUGAUCCCGCCAUGCCGCGUGUGUUAAGAAGGUCUUCGGAUUGUAAAGCACUUUAAGUUGGGAGGCGUUACCAACAGAAUAAGCACCGGCUAACUUCGUGCCAGCGGCCGCGGUAAUAC